This 196-nucleotide non-coding RNA is filed under the name Vibrio furnissii. Lineage: Bacteria; Pseudomonadati; Pseudomonadota; Gammaproteobacteria; Vibrionales; Vibrionaceae. The record is from RNAcentral.
UACUAUCAGCGCCAAGCUGGUGUGAUUUAGCUGCCUAGAUGGCUAAAUGACUGAAAAGGGAAUCUGGUGGGAAUCCAGAACUGACGCGCAGCGGUAAGAGAGAACGAACACUCAGUGACACUGCGAUCGCGGGAAGUCGAGUUAGUAGGAGACAGUGCUCUCAAGUCCGAAGACCUGCCAGCGGCUGAGCGAAGAA